GCUGGCGGUAGGCUUAACACAUGCAAGUCGUGCGAGAAAGUAUCUUCGGAUAUGAGUAGAGCGGCGGACGGGUGAGUAACGCGUAGGAAUCUACCUAGUAGAAGGGGAUAGCCCGGGGAAACUCGGAUUAAUACCGUAUACCUCCUUCGGGAGAAAGAAGGCCUCUCUUUGAAGCUUUUGCUAUUAGAUGAGCCUGCGUAAGAUUAGCUUGUUGGUGAGGUAAAGGCUCACCAAGGCAACGAUCUUUAGCGGGUCUGAGAGGACGAUCCGCCACAUUGGGACUGAGACACGGCCCAGACUCCUACGGGAGGCAGCAGUGGGGAAUAUUGGACAAUGGGCGCAAGCCUGAUCCAGCCAUACCGCGUGUGUGAAGAAGGCCCUAGGGUUGUAAAGCACUUUAAGUUGGGAAGAAAAGUUAUUGGUUAAUACCCAAUAACCGUGACAUUACCUUCAGAAUAAGGACCGGCUAAUUCCGUGCCAGCAGCCGCGGUAAUACGGAAGGUCCAAGCGUUAAUCGGAAUUACUGGGCGUAAAGCGCGCGUAGGUGGUUUAUUAAGUUGGAUGUGAAAUCCCCGGGCUCAACCUGGGAACUGCAUCCAAAACUGAUUCACUAGAGUACGAUAGAGGGAGGUAGAAUUCACAGUGUAGCGGUGGAAUGCGUAGAUAUUGUGAAGAAUACCAAUGGCGAAGGCAGCCUCCUGGAUCUGUACUGACACUAAGGUGCGAAAGCGUGGGUAGCGAACAGGAUUAGAUACCCUGGUAGUCCACGCCGUAAACGAUGUCAACUAGCUGUUGGGAAACAAUGUUUCUCAGUGGCGCAGCUAACGUAGUAAGUUGACCGCCUGGGGAGUACG
RNAcentral lists this ribosomal RNA (854 nucleotides) under uncultured Gammaproteobacteria bacterium. Its description in RNAcentral is "bacterial SSU rRNA". It matches the Rfam family "Bacterial small subunit ribosomal RNA", at positions 35 to 884 of the family's 1533-position model. Lineage: Bacteria; Pseudomonadati; Pseudomonadota; Gammaproteobacteria. The record is from RNAcentral.